CAGCAGCCGCGGGAAUACGAAGGGUGCAAGCGUUAAUCGGAAUUACUGGGCGUAAAGCGUGCGUAGGCGGUGAGUUAAGUCUGCUGUGAAAUCCCCGGGCUCAACCUGGGAACUGCAUUGGUGACUGCAACGCUGGAGUGCGGCAGAGGGGGAUGGAACUCCGCGUGUAGCAGUGAAAUGCGUAGAUAUGCGGAGGAACACCGAUGGCGAAGGCAAUCCCCUGGGCCUGCACUGACGCUCAUGCACGAAAGCGUGGGGAGCAAACAGGAUUAGAGACCCCCGUAGUCCCUGUCUCUUAUAC
This 301-nucleotide ribosomal RNA is filed under the name uncultured bacterium. Its description in RNAcentral is "partial 16S ribosomal RNA". It matches the Rfam family "Bacterial small subunit ribosomal RNA", at positions 509 to 807 of the family's 1533-position model. The record is from RNAcentral.